Lycium barbarum (goji berry) is the source of this 2990-nucleotide long non-coding RNA. RefSeq lists it as uncharacterized. The record is from RefSeq and is a predicted model, not a curated record. The transcript is spliced from 3 exons. NCBI's taxonomy places the organism in Eukaryota, Viridiplantae, Streptophyta, Magnoliopsida, Solanales, Solanaceae.
AAUUCUCAUAUGAAGUUACAACGAUGCCUCUCUGCCUCUCUCCUUGUCUUCUCAAACAAAACUAGGGUUUGAAGUUCUCUCAGUUUCAGGCUAUAUAGUUGAAUUUUUUCAGGCUUUCAGCCUUUCAGGUACUUUCGACACCUUAUUCAAUUUUUUCCUUUAUUCUAUCACUUGGAUUGUGAAAUAUACCGAGUACAAGAGUGGGAAUCAACUCGGUGGACUGCAACUUGGUGAUUGUGAUCGUUAAAAGCAUGAUAUAUCAAAGUUUCCUUAUAAAUAUCUCACGAUAUGCCCAUUAGACGCAGUACAGUACAUAAGCUAUUAUGCAACAUAAUGCUAAUAAUUUCAUAAAAUAUGUUCUUGAUUCUCUGUUUGUAAUAUUUUUUGUAUCAUAUUGAUGUUAAAAUAGUAACAAUGUAACAUAUUAUGAAUCGUUUUAGGUAUCCAUUUUUUACUAACAAUUCUGAUUUCUGAGUCCAACCCGUAGCAUCAUCUCCUCAAAGCUCAAGAAGGUAUCAUUUGUACUUUCACAGUUUAGAAUGCAUUAUGAUUUGACAAUUUGCUGCUUGAUUGUUGUUUACAAAUCAGAUUUUAUAGUGACACAAACACAUGGCUGAAAAUAUUACAACUGAUAAGGUGGUCAAUGGAAGUAAGGCUUCUAAUUCAAAUGCUACGAGUCAAAUACAACUGGUAAGGCAAGAAAGGAAAAAGAGGUCUCGUGCAUGGGAACAUUUUGGACCAUUUGUUGAUAAAGACGGGAAUAAGAAAUCAAAGUGCAAGCAUUGUGGUGCAACUUAUCAUUCUGACUCUAAAAAUGGUACGACGGGAAUGCUUACUCAUUUGUUAACAUGUCCAAAAAUGCCUAGAGAUGUUCCUAAAAGUCAAAAGGAAAUAGGAUUUCAACCUGUUCCAGGGGGUGCUAUGGAUGAUGUAGUUGUUGUUUCUUGGAAGUUUGAGCAAGAACAAUGUAGGAAGGCUUUAUGCCGCAUGGUGAUUAUUGAUGAACUUCCCUUCAAGUUUGUUGAGAAAGAAGGUUUUAGAAGCUUUAUGAAAGUAACACAACCUCAUUUUAAGAUUCCUUCUCGUAGCGCUGUGAUGCGGGAUUGUUUAGAUCUUUUUAAUGAAGAAAAGAAGAAGUUGAGGAGGUCUUUUAAAGAAGCACAACAGAGAGUGUGUCUUACCACCGAUACUUGGACCUCUUUACAGCGUAUUAACUAUAUGUGUCUCACUGCACAUUGGAUUGACAGUGAAUGGAUUAUGCAUAAGAGGUUUCUUAAUUUUUGUCCAAUUUCUAGCCAUAGAGGUGAAGAUAUGGCUAAUGAGAUUAGUAAGUGUUUAUGAGAAUGGGGCUUAGAUAAAAAAUUUACUAUCACAGUUGAUAAUGCUAGUUCAAAUGAUGUGACUGUGAAAGAGUUGUCAAAGCAAUUCACUAAACGGGUGACUAAUUUUAUGAAUGGAAAGCACCUUCACGUGAGGUGUAUGGCUCACAUUAUAAAUUUUGUUGUCUAAGAUGGUAUGAAAGAGGCUGCUUUGUCUAUUGAAGGGGUUAGACAAGCAGUGAGAUAUAUUAUAUUAGGCAGUCUCCUGCAAGGUGGCAGAAGUUCCAAGAAUGUUGUGAAGCUGUUGAUAUCAAUUGUAAAAAAUCUUUAUGUUUGGAUGAUGCUACGAGGUGGAACUCCACCUACUUGAUGUUGAAUAGGGCUAUUGAGUAUGAGAAUAUUUUUUCGAAUAAUGCUGAUCGUGAUAUUGGCUUAUCGCAUUAUCUCGAGUUUGUUGAUUUGGAACUCCUUUAGGUACACUUUUGAGUAAUGAUUGGGAGCAUGUAAAGAGAGUUGAAAAAUUCCUUCAAAUCUUUUAUGAUCUUACUGAAAAGGUAUCUGGAUCACUUUACGUCACAUCAAAUUUUCACUUUCUUAAAAUUUGUGAGGUUGCUUGUUAUUUGAAACAAUUGAUAUCCAGUGAAGAUGUUUUUUUUUUUUUGGGUUCAAUUGCAAAGAAUAUGAAAGAAAAAUUUGACAAGUAUUGGGGUAAUCCAAAAAAAAUGAAUAAGAUGAUUUUCAUUUUUUGUGUUUUGGAUCCUCGUCACAAGCUGGUUUCGAUUGGUUUUGCACUUAAGAGGAUGUUUGGGGAAAUAGAAGGACCAGUUAUAGAGAAGGAAGUGAAUAACUACAUGACUUCAUUGUUUGGUGAGUAUGUAAAGUCUUUUUCAAAAGAAAAGGGCAGUCAACUCUUCAUUUGAAACUUCUAGUUCAUUGCCUUCAAGUUCAGGUAGUACUAUCCAAUCGAUAGGAUCUUUAGGGUCAUUCAUGGAUUAUCUAAUGAAACAUAAAGCUGGAAAUGGAGCAGCGGAUUCUAAAACAGAAUUGGAAAAAUAUAUUAGUGAAGAAAAUGAAGUUGAAAGGCCUAACUUUUAGGUCUUGUCUUGGUGGAAAAUAAACUCACCUCGAUUUCCUGUUCUUGCUGAGAUGGCUUGGGAUGUGUUAGCUAUUCCUAUUUCAAGUGUGGCAUUCGAGUGUGCAUUUAGUACCAGAGGACGUAUUUUGGAUUCAUUUAGGAGUUCAUUGACUCCUAUAUUGGUGCAAGCUCUAGUGUGCCUUCAAGAUUGGAUUCGGAGUGAAAAAAAAAACCUGUUAGUGUUGAAGAAGAUCUAGAUAACCUCGAGCAGCUUGAACAAGAUUUGGCCAAUACUAGCAUUCUUGAUGAUUGACGUGGAGCGGUGGAGUCAAAACUCUUCAUUUUUGCACUUGGAUCUGAUGAAUUAACUGUUCAUUUUUAAAGGUGCUGGUUGGUGCUGCUGUAGUUUUUUGGAUCUUUGAAGUUGCUGGCUUGGUGCUGCUGCCUGCUGCUUACUGCUUUAUUUUGUAUUUUAUAGUUUUAUUUUGCAUUUUAUAGCUUCUCUUGCAGCUGAUGUUUUCUUUCCGAAGAAGUUAGCCUUUUUUAUGAACAAAUGAACUACGAACUGGCUUGUUUUGUUUUUGAAAUAUUGCUAC